CUGAGGACUGGAGACCUCAGUCUGACCCUGAAAGACCCCCAAAACACCCACAGUGGUUUCUACAUGUGCACAGUCUCCCAGGGUGAAGACAUCCUGAGACAGAAAGGAGUGACGCUUACUUUCAGAGGAAAACAUGGUGCAAGCUUUACAGAGCUGUUUCAAGGUUUCCGAAAGAAGAGAAAAUCCAUAAUUGAUGGACCUUCUUCCUCUGUGAUUUAUGAAUCUAUUCCUCUCACGGCUAAUGAAACAACUUGAUGUUAAAUUGAGGAGAGCUGGCAGGAUGAUCCUCAUCUGAUCAUCUCAUCUGUUCAUCUUCUGUCUUCCGGAGUACCACAAGAUCUACAUCAGGGCAACUUAGUUUUCCCUGAAUAUUCUUCUUUGGUUCCACUUUUGUGUGGAGUUUGCA
Pundamilia nyererei is the source of this 406-nucleotide long non-coding RNA. RefSeq lists it as uncharacterized. The record is from RefSeq and is a predicted model, not a curated record. The transcript is spliced from 4 exons. Lineage: Eukaryota; Metazoa; Chordata; Actinopteri; Cichliformes; Cichlidae.